GUCUUUUUCCUGCCACCGAAUAAGGGAUGAUCACACACAUACCCCACUCCACCCCCACCUCGGCGCACAGUUUCUCUGUGAAGGGACAAGCGGGAUGGGGAAAGUUUGGCACCACGGCGGUGGUGGUGGCAGCAACCAGCGGCGGCACACAGGGGUCCCGGUGGGAGGCAGGGUCGCUGAAAACCCCGGCCCGAUCGCCUCCUUACCUCGGUGCUUUCGACUGCGUUCUCCGCCAUUUUCCUCCGGAGGAGCAGGCAGCGGGAGGAGUGUUUCAUGCCCAUAAGAGCCAACAAGGGGUUUGGGAUUUGAGAUAGUAAAGAACGGGAGACGGCUGAUGUGGCUUUAAAAGAGAGCCUAAGAAUGCAAGAGGAGGGGGAAAAAAAUCCCAGCCAGCCCCUCUCCCGGAGCGUCCUCCGCGACAAUCGAGCUCUGUGGAGUC
RNAcentral lists this long non-coding RNA (439 nucleotides) under Mus pahari (shrew mouse). Its description in RNAcentral is "predicted gene 42738 (MGP_PahariEiJ_G0003011.1)". Lineage: Eukaryota; Metazoa; Chordata; Mammalia; Rodentia; Muridae. The record is from RNAcentral.